AACGUAGGGGACAAGCGUUAUCCGGAUUUACUGGGCGUAAAGCGCCCGUAGGCGGCCUGACAAGUUGGACGUGAAAGCUCCUGGCUUAACUGGGAGAGGCCGUUCAAAACUGUCAAGCUAGAGUCUGGAAGAGGAGAGCGGAAUUCCCGGUGUAGUGGUGGAAUGCGUAGAGAUCGGGAGGAACACCAGUGGCGAAGGCGGGUCUCUGGACAGUUCCUGACGCUGAGGCACGAAGGUCAGGGGAGCAAACGGG
Molecule: ribosomal RNA, 253 nt
Filed under: uncultured bacterium
Lineage: Bacteria
Description: partial 16S ribosomal RNA
Rfam family: Bacterial small subunit ribosomal RNA
Source: RNAcentral